RNAcentral lists this small nuclear RNA (162 nucleotides) under Ancylostoma ceylanicum. Its description in RNAcentral is "U1 spliceosomal RNA". Lineage: Eukaryota; Metazoa; Nematoda; Chromadorea; Rhabditida; Ancylostomatidae. The record is from RNAcentral.
UAAGAGCCGCGCGAACGCAGCCCCACACACAAAAAUUUAGCUGUUGGCGAAUCUCAGUUCGAGACUGCCACACGGGUCAGCCCGGGCGAAAGUGCAAUGCGCGGGCCUCACCAUGGGGGUUCCGCCUUGUUGAUCGCGAGACGCCCCCAGCCAGGUAAGUUU